This 451-nucleotide ribosomal RNA is filed under the name uncultured bacterium. RNAcentral's name for it is "bacterial SSU rRNA". It matches the Rfam family "Bacterial small subunit ribosomal RNA", at positions 30 to 472 of the family's 1533-position model. The record is from RNAcentral.
AUUGAACGCUGGCGGCAUGCUUAACACACGCAAGUCGAACGGUAACAGGCCCUUCGGGGUGCUGACGAGUGGCGGACGGGUGAGUAAUGCUUAGGAAUCUGCCUGGUAGUGGGGGAUAACCCGGGGAAACUCGGGCUAAUACCGCAUACGCCCUACAGGGGAAAGCGGGGGACUUUCGGGCCUCGCGCUAUUAGAUGAGCCUAAGUCCGAUUAGCUAGUUGGGUAGGGUAAUGGCCUACCAAGGCGACGANCGGUAGCUGGUCUGAGAGGACGACCAGCCACACUGGGACUGAGACACGGCCCCAGACUCCUACGGGAGGCAGCAGUGGGGAAUAUUGGACAAUGGGCGCAAGCCUGAUCCCAGCGAUGCCGCGUGUGUGAAGAAGGCCUGCGGGUUGUAAAGCACUUUCAGUAGGGAAGAAAAGCCGAGUGCUAAUAUCACUCGGUCUUG